UGCGAACUCCUACGGGAGGCAGCAGUGGGGAAUAUUGCGCAAUGGGGGCAACCCUGACGCAGCCAUGCCGCGUGAAUGAAGAAGGCCUUCGGGUUGUAAAGUUCUUUCGGUAGCGAGGAAGGCAUUUAGUUUAAUAGACUAGGUGAUUGACGUUAACUACAGAAGAAGCACCGGCUAACUCCGUGCCAGCAGCCGCGGUAAUACGGAGGGUGCGAGCGUUAAUCGGAAUAACUGGGCGUAAAGGGCACGCAGGCGGUGACUUAAGUGAGGUGUGAAAGCCCCGGGCUUAACCUGGGAAUUGCAUUUCAUACUGGGUCGCUAGAGUACUUUAGGGAGGGGUAGAAUUCCACGUGUAGCGGUGAAAUGCGUAGAGAUGUGGAGGAAUACCGAAGGCGAAGGCAGCCUCCUGGGAUAACACUGACGUUCAUGCUCGAAAGCGUGGGUAGCAAACAGGAUUAGAUACCCUUGUAGUCCUGAGU
RNAcentral lists this ribosomal RNA (479 nucleotides) under uncultured bacterium. RNAcentral's name for it is "bacterial SSU rRNA". It matches the Rfam family "Bacterial small subunit ribosomal RNA", at positions 330 to 800 of the family's 1533-position model. The record is from RNAcentral.